This 252-nucleotide unclassified non-coding RNA is filed under the name uncultured Anaerolineales bacterium. RNAcentral describes it as "contains 16S-23S intergenic spacer region". It matches the Rfam family "Bacterial small subunit ribosomal RNA", at positions 524 to 776 of the family's 1533-position model. The record is from RNAcentral. Lineage: Bacteria; Bacillati; Chloroflexota; Anaerolineae; Anaerolineales.
CACGUAGGAUCCAAGCGUUAUCCGGAUUUACUGGGCGUAAAGCGCGUGCAGGUGGUUUGCUAAGUUGGGUGUUAAAGCUCCUGGCUCAACUGUGAGUUGUCGCUAAAAACUAGCAGACUAGAGGAUGGUAGAGGGAGGUGGAAUUCCGGUUGUAGUGUGAAAUGCGUAGAUAUCCGGAGGAACACCAGUGGCGGAGGCGGCCUCCUGGCCCAUUCCUGACACUCAGACGCGAAAGCUAGGGUAGCAAACGGG